CAUGGAGUUUGAUCCUGGCUCAGAUUGAACGCUGGCGGCAGGCCUAACACAUGCAAGUCGAGCGGAUGAGAAGAGCUUGCUCUUCGAUUCAGCGGCGGACGGGUGAGUAAUGCCUAGGAAUCUGCCUGGUAGUGGGGGACAACGUUUCGAAAGGAACGCUAAUACCGCAUACGUCCUACGGGAGAAAGCAGGGGACCUUCGGGCCUUGCGCUAUCAGAUGAGCCUAGGUCGGAUUAGCUAGUUGGUGAGGUAAUGGCUCACCAAGGCUACGAUCCGUAACUGGUCUGAGAGGAUGAUCAGUCACACUGGAACUGAGACACGGUCCAGACUCCUACGGGA
RNAcentral lists this ribosomal RNA (339 nucleotides) under uncultured Pseudomonas sp. RNAcentral describes it as "bacterial SSU rRNA". It matches the Rfam family "Bacterial small subunit ribosomal RNA", at positions 1 to 346 of the family's 1533-position model. The record is from RNAcentral. Lineage: Bacteria; Pseudomonadati; Pseudomonadota; Gammaproteobacteria; Pseudomonadales; Pseudomonadaceae.